AUCUGCUUCUUGAAUGCAUUGCCUGUAAAUAAAUAAUAGGAAGGGUUACUAAUGCACGAAGCAUCCCAAGCUUUGGAGAGGGCUGAAACCGUGACCUGUAAGUCACAAAUGAAGUAACUUUACAAUUAAAACCGAAGCCAUCUCAAGGAGCGUAAAUACCGUUGUUUUUUCUUUCUAUUUUGUGCAUUUGUGUGUUGAUAGAAUUAUUCAUUGUUAGUGUCAUUUAAAAGAAUAGAUGCAUAAUUGAAAACACAAGGCAAUGGAGAUCUAGCAUGGCAAAUCUGAUCAGCUUGGAAUUCUGUGUCAUUCAGGUCUCUUUGCAGCUGUGUUUCGACUACCAUAGGAGGAGGAGCUGAGACGCAGACAGAGCCAGAGCUUGAGAACAAGUUACAUGAUGCUAGCAUGCAGGUUCUUUACUCUAAUACUCAAUAGCUGGUUCUUUUAUAGAGACCCUUGAGUAGCUAGUGGAGAUUAAAGGUUCUUUUAAUCAAGUUUCAAAAGCCUUUCUGUGAAUUGCAGCAGAAGAUUUCUCAUUUGAAACCAAUCUUGAAACUAUCUUGUAUGACCAAAAAUAAAUAUGGAAUGGUUUGCCAAUAAACUUAUUAAACUCUGUCUAGAUCUCAAAAGAAAGAAGAAUAUAAUAACCAGAUGCAAUUGGCAAUAUAAAGUGAUAGAAAAUGAUAAUGCAAGAAUAGAUAAGCUAGCAAAAGAUAAAGCUAGAAAAAACAAGUAGAUAAGAUAAAGUGUGGAUGCAGUGCUAACCUUCAGAAAAGGAGCCAAAAGGG
This 785-nucleotide unclassified non-coding RNA is filed under the name Hevea brasiliensis (rubber tree). Lineage: Eukaryota; Viridiplantae; Streptophyta; Magnoliopsida; Malpighiales; Euphorbiaceae. The record is from RNAcentral.